Molecule: ribosomal RNA, 787 nt
Filed under: Limosilactobacillus fermentum
Lineage: Bacteria; Bacillati; Bacillota; Bacilli; Lactobacillales; Lactobacillaceae
Description: bacterial SSU rRNA
Rfam family: Bacterial small subunit ribosomal RNA
Source: RNAcentral
AACUGCAAGUCGAACGCGUUGGGCCCAAUUGAUUGAUGGUGCUUGCACCUGAUUGAUUUUGGUCGCCAACGAGUGGCGGACGGGUGAGUAACACGUAGGUAACCUGCCCAGAAGCGGGGGACAACAUUUGGAAACAGAUGCUAAUACCGCAUAACAACGUUGUUCGCAUGAACAACGCUUAAAAGAUGGCUUCUCGCUAUCACUUCUGGAUGGACCUGCGGUGCAUUAGCUUGUUGGUGGGGUAACGGCCUACCAAGGCGAUGAUGCAUAGCCGAGUUGAGAGACUGAUCGGCCACAAUGGGACUGAGACACGGCCCAUACUCCUACGGGAGGCAGCAGUAGGGAAUCUUCCACAAUGGGCGCAAGCCUGAUGGAGCAACACCGCGUGAGUGAAGAAGGGUUUCGGCUCGUAAAGCUCUGUUGUUAAAGAAGAACACGUAUGAGAGUAACUGUUCAUACGUUGACGGUAUUUAACCAGAAAGUCACGGCUAACUACGUGCCAGCAGCCGCGGUAAUACGUAGGUGGCAAGCGUUAUCCGGAUUUAUUGGGCGUAAAGAGAGUGCAGGCGGUUUUCUAAGUCUGAUGUGAAAGCCUUCGGCUUAACCGGAGAAGUGCAUCGGAAACUGGAUAACUUGAGUGCAGAAGAGGGUAGUGGAACUCCAUGUGUAGCGGUGGAAUGCGUAGAUAUAUGGAAGAACACGAGUGGCGAACGCAGCUACCUGGUCUGCAACUGACGCUGAGACUCGAAAGCAUGGGUAGCGAACAGGAUUAGAUACCCUGGUAGUC